Photobacterium iliopiscarium is the source of this 181-nucleotide non-coding RNA. The record is from Rfam. NCBI's taxonomy places the organism in Bacteria, Pseudomonadati, Pseudomonadota, Gammaproteobacteria, Vibrionales, Vibrionaceae.
AUAAGGAGUAGAGGUGCAUUGUUUAUCAGUAACUAAUAUGAGAGUGAUACCGAUGACUAUUAGUGAAAGGAACCAAUGCCGAAGUAAGAAAUGUAUAUCAAAUAUUCUUACUGGGAUUACAUUGAAUAAGUGUAAUACUGCCAUAGUCGAUAAAAUAUAACUAUGGAGCGCUACUGUAGAG